This 504-nucleotide ribosomal RNA is filed under the name uncultured bacterium. RNAcentral's name for it is "partial 16S ribosomal RNA". It matches the Rfam family "Bacterial small subunit ribosomal RNA", at positions 28 to 507 of the family's 1533-position model. The record is from RNAcentral.
GACGAACGCUGGCGGCGUGCCUAAUACAUGCAAGUAGAACGCACAGUUUAUACCGUAGCUUGCUACACCAUAAACUGUGAGGUGCGAACGGGUGAGUAACGCGUAGGUAACCUGCCUGGGAUCGUGGGAUAACUAUUGGAAACAAUAGCUAAUACCUCAUGAUAUUGAUUGUUGCAUGAUAAUUGAUUGAAAUAUGCUAUUUCAUCACUACCACAUGGACCUGGGUUGUAUUAGCUAGUAGGGGAGGUAACGGCUUACCUAGGCGACGAUACAUAUCCGACCUGAGAGGGUGAUCGGCCACACUGGGACUGAGACACGGCCCAGACUCCUACGGGAGGCAGCAGUAGGGAAUCUUCGGCAAUGGACGAAAGUCUGACAGAGCAACGCCGCGUGAGUGAAGAAGGUGUUCGGAUCGUAAAGCUCUGUUGUAAGAGAAGAACGGGUGUGAGAGUAGAAAGGCCACUCUGGACGGUAAUGUUACAAGAAACGGACGGUAACUUCGUU